This 497-nucleotide ribosomal RNA is filed under the name uncultured bacterium. RNAcentral's name for it is "partial 16S ribosomal RNA". It matches the Rfam family "Bacterial small subunit ribosomal RNA", at positions 28 to 507 of the family's 1533-position model. The record is from RNAcentral.
GAUGAACGCUGGCGGCGUGCCUAAUACAAGCAAGUCGAGCGAACAGACGAGGAGCUUGCUCCUUUGACGUUAGCGGCGGACGGGUGAGUAACACGUGGGUAACCUACCUAUAAGACUGGGAUAACUUCGGGAAACCGGAGCUAAUACCGGAUAAUAUUUCGAACCGCAUGGUUCGAUAGUGAAAGAUGGCUUUGCUAUCACUUAUAGAUGGACCUGCGCCGUAUUAGCUAGUUGGUAAGGUAACGGCUUACCAAGGCAACGAUACGUAGCCGACCUGAGAGGGUGAUCGGCCACACCGGAACUGAGACACGGUCCAGACUCCUACGGGAGGCAGCAGUAGGGAAUCUUCCGCAAUGGGCGAAAGCCUGACGGAGCAACGCCGCGUGAGUGAUGAAGGUCUUCGGAUCGUAAAACUCUGUUAUUAGGGAAGAACAAACGUGUAAGUAACUGUGCACGUCUUGACGGUACCUAAUCAGAAAGCCACGGCUAACUACGUG